GUCCAGAAUAAGCUCCUCACUUUAUUCUCUCCAUCUAGCUCAAACGAGUAGCAAAAGCCAGGAUUUUCUGUUUGUUUCUUGUUGAACAUUUGCACUACUUCCAUCAUGUCAGAGUUUGUGAUGUCUCUGUUAAUUGUUGCUGCAUAGUUUGUGACAUGUUUCUUUGUGUAGGGCAGAUGAGCCAUUCCUCCUCUCAAGUAAGCCAAGACAGCUACAAUCCUUCUUGUUUCCAGGUUUGUAUGCUUCAACACCCUUAUCAAGCACUUCUCUUCAUCCGACAUGUACUUAUGUGACCUGAAGAAUCUACUGUUUGGUGUUAACUCAUGGUUGUGUUCUAGUUGUUGUCUUGUGAUUUCCCACAUGCCUCCUUUUUCUGAUAUGACCAUGACGACUUUACAAUCUGUUUUAGCUAUGACUGUAGAUUUUCUCAUGGGCACUAUGCAUUCCUUAUCUAUUUCUUUUGUCUUGCCCCACUUGUUGCACUUCACAGUGAUCCUUGUCACCUCAUUGUUCCUUUUUUUGCUUGAUGUUCUUGAGAUUGCUACUGUAGCCACUGAAAAUCCUGCCACUUUCGAGUAGAAAUUGAAAUAUUCCUGAGCUUCUUCCUUCGUUUUGAACUGCAUGCCUAAUCGAGGCUUGAAAUUACUGCUAGUGUUCAUCAGGUUUCCCUCUGACGCAGCUUCUUGUUCAUUUUGCAGGAAUCUUUCAACGUCUUCUUCGUCGAGGAAUUCAUCUUCUCCCUCUUGUUCUAGUGAGUGUUCUGGUUCUUUUCUUUCUCCUUCUUCAUUGCUACAGCCUGUGCUUGAGUUUGUUUUAGCUGCUGCUCUUCUUAUGUCAACAUCCUCAGGCUCCUGCAACUUUAGGUUUUUGUGUUAGUUUUUUUCCUGAUGUAAUGUCUCAACUUUCUCAUAUGUUCAUCGUUUGUUCUUUCUGAAGUUUUUGUAGUAUGUACCUGUUGCAGAUUCAUGUUGUAGAACAGGUCUGUGUCCCAUGGAUUAGAUUCUCCUCCACCAUCUUCACUUGCUGCCACUUCGUGAUGCAAGUCUCCCUCAAAUGUCUGCAAAGUUUUUGAACAGGAAAUUCCUCCAUGAUCUGUUCAUGUGAGAGGUGGAGAGAGAAGUUGGGACUUUUUUGCUGACCUGUGGAUCCUGUUGUGGAUUCCUCUCUGAUGAUCUUCUUUCUUGCUGCUCGUCAGGUGAGAUCUGUCCAGUGGUUUGCGGGAGGGGUUUGGCCCUUUUUCGUGCGUUGCAAGUUGGGCACAUGCUGUGUGGGCCUGGAGGUCGACAGAGGUUGGGGUAGGUCCCUGAUUUUUGUGGAGUGGGUUGUUGUCGAGGGUUACCGGGUCAAGUAUUUUCCCCGACCUGUUUUGGCGUUCUUUUUCCGCUGUUAGCUGUUCUUGUGGCUGUACAGGUGUCAUCUGUUCAUUUGUCAGGUUUUUUGAAUGUUGUUGAAUUGGAAAACACUCGAAUGUCAAAUAGACAGUCCCUAAAA
Aegilops tauschii subsp. strangulata is the source of this 1491-nucleotide long non-coding RNA. RefSeq lists it as uncharacterized. NCBI's taxonomy places the organism in Eukaryota, Viridiplantae, Streptophyta, Magnoliopsida, Poales, Poaceae. The record is from RefSeq and is a predicted model, not a curated record.